This 579-nucleotide small RNA is filed under the name Pongo abelii (Sumatran orangutan). Its description in RNAcentral is "retained intron". The record is from RNAcentral. Lineage: Eukaryota; Metazoa; Chordata; Mammalia; Primates; Hominidae.
AGAACCACAGAAGGUUAAAGUGAGCUCAUCGAUUCAGCACCCAGAAACACCUCUGCACAUUUCUGGUUUCCAUCUGCCCUCCAAGCCUAAACCCCCACAAGAAACAGAAAAAGGACACCCAGCUUGUGAGCCUGAGAACCUGGAAUUUAGUUCCUUCAUGUUCUGGAGAAACCCUCUGCCCAACAUCGAUCACGAGCUGCAGGAGCUGCUGAUUGACAGAGGUGAGGACAUUCCAAGUGAUGAGGAGGAGGAAGAAAACGGGUUUGAAGACAGAAGAGAUGACAGCGAUGACGACGGGGGCGGCUGGAUAACCCCCAGUAACAUCAAGCAGAUCCAGCAGGAGCUGGAGCAGUGCGACGUCCCCGAGGACGUGCGGGUUGGCUGCGUGACCACAGACUUCGCCAUGCAGGUGGGUAGGGUGGGCCUGGGCCGUGUGUCACACACGUCAUCGGCAGUGGUCCUACCGAGGUGUACUGAUAUACACGGAACUGGUGCUGUGCAGCGCUUCUUUUCCUGGUUCUGGAAACUACCUGUGCCAUUUGCUGAUUUUUAGUUUCGCUUAGAGGCUAGACAAUCGUG